RNAcentral lists this ribosomal RNA (467 nucleotides) under uncultured bacterium. RNAcentral's name for it is "partial 16S ribosomal RNA". It matches the Rfam family "Bacterial small subunit ribosomal RNA", at positions 29 to 507 of the family's 1533-position model. The record is from RNAcentral.
ACGAACGCUGGCGGCGUGCUUAACACAUGCAAGUCGCACGGAAAGGCCCUGCUUUUGUGGGGUGCUCGAGUGGCGAACGGGUGAGUAACACGUGAGUAACCUGCCCUUGACUUUGGGAUAACUUCAGGAAACUGGGGCUAAUACCGGAUAGGAGCUCCUGCUGCAUGGUGGGGGUUGGAAAGUUUCGGCGGUGGGGGAUGGACUCGCGGCUUAUCAGCUUGUUGGUGGGGUAGUGGCUUACCAAGGCUUUGACGGGUAGCCGGCCUGAGAGGGUGACCGGCCACAUGGGGACUGAGGUACGGCGCGGACUGCUGCGGGGGGCAGCAGUGGGGAAUAUUGCACAAUGGGCGGAAGCCUGAUGCAGCAACGCCGCGGGCGGGAUGACGGCAUUAGGGUUGUAAACCGCUUUCGCCUGUGACGAAGCGUGAGUGACGGUAAUGGGUAAAGAAGCACCGGCUAAAUACGUG